This 468-nucleotide ribosomal RNA is filed under the name uncultured bacterium. RNAcentral's name for it is "partial 16S ribosomal RNA". It matches the Rfam family "Bacterial small subunit ribosomal RNA", at positions 28 to 507 of the family's 1533-position model. The record is from RNAcentral.
GACGAACGCUGGCGGCGUGCUUAACACAUGCAAGUCGAACGGAACGUCCCUGCUUUUGUGGGGUGCUCGAGUGGCGAAAGGGUGAGUAACACGUGAGUAACCUGCCCUUUACUCUGGGAUAACUUCAGGAAACUGGGUCUAAUACAGGAUAGAAGCUCCUACUGCAGGGUGGGCGUUGGAAAGUUUAGGGGGUUGGGGAUGGAGUCGCGGGUUAUCAGCUUGUUGGUCGGGUAGUGGCUUACCAAGGUAUUGAAGGGUAGCCGGCCUGAGAGGGUGACCGGCCACAUUGGGACUGGGCUACGGCCCAGCCGCCUACGGGCGGCAGUGGUGGAGAAUAUUGCACAGUGGACUGGAGCCAGAUGCAGCGACUCCGCGUGCGUGAUGCCCUCCUUUGAGAUGUAAACCAGUUUCUCCUUAGCCGAAGCGUGAGGGACGGUAAUUGGUAAAGAAGCACCGGCUAACUACGUG